GAUGAAGAACGUAGCGAAAUGCGAUAAGUAGUGUGAAUUGCAGAAUUCAGUGAAUCAUCGAAUCUUUGAACGCACAUUGCACCCUUUGGUAUUCCAAAGGGCAUGCCUGUUCGAGCGUCAUUUGUACCCUCAAGCUUUGCUUGGUGUUGGGCGUCUUGUCUCUAGCUUUGCUGGAGACUCGCCUUAAAGUAAUUGGCAGCCGGCCUACUGGUUUCGGAGCGCAGCACAAGUCGCACUCUCUAUCAGCAAAGGUCUAGCAUCCAUUAAGCCUUUUUUUCAACUUUUGACCUCGGAUCAGGUAGGGAUACCCGCUGAACUUAAGCAUAUCAAUAAGCGGAGGA
RNAcentral lists this unclassified non-coding RNA (341 nucleotides) under soil metagenome. RNAcentral's name for it is "partial contains 5.8S ribosomal RNA, internal transcribed spacer 2, and large subunit ribosomal RNA". The stretch from base 1 to 120 matches the Rfam family "5.8S ribosomal RNA", at positions 35 to 154 of the family's 154-position model. The record is from RNAcentral.